Molecule: ribosomal RNA, 653 nt
Filed under: uncultured fungus
Lineage: Eukaryota; Fungi
Description: eukaryotic LSU rRNA
Rfam family: Eukaryotic large subunit ribosomal RNA
Source: RNAcentral
CCCGCUGAACUUAAGCAUAUCAAUAAGCGGAGGAAAAGAAACCAACAGGGAUUGCCUCAGUAACGGCGAGUGAAGCGGCAACAGCUCAAAUUUGAAAUCUGGCUCUUUCAGGGUCCGAGUUGUAAUUUGUAGAAGAUGCUUCGGGUGUGGCUCCAGCCUAAGUUCCUUGGAACAGGACGUCAUAGAGGGUGAGAAUCCCGUAUGCGGCCGGUGGCCUUCGCCCAUGUGAAGCUCUUUCGACGAGUCGAGUUGUUUGGGAAUGCAGCUCAAAAUGGGUGGUAAAUUUCAUCUAAAGCUAAAUAUUGGCCAGAGACCGAUAGCGCACAAGUAGUGUGAACGAAAGAUGAAAAGCACUUUGGAAAGAGAGUUAAACAGUACGUGAAAUUGCUGAAAGGGAAACGCUUGAAGUCAGUCGCGUCGUUCAGGAUUCAGCCUUGCUUCUGCUUGGUGUACUUCCUGUUUGACGGGUCAGCAUCAGUUUUGGCCAGUGGAUAAAGGCUCAGAGAAUGUGGCAUCCUCGGAUGUGUUAUAGCUUUGGGUCGCAUACAUUGGCUGGGACUGAGGAACUCAGCACGCCGCAAGGCCAGGUUUCGACCAUGUACGUGCUUAGGAUGCUGGCAUAAUGGCUUUAAUCGACCCGUCUUGAAACACGG